This is a long non-coding RNA of Drosophila arizonae, 801 nucleotides long. Lineage: Eukaryota; Metazoa; Arthropoda; Insecta; Diptera; Drosophilidae. The record is from RefSeq and is a predicted model, not a curated record.
UCGAAUAAAAAAACUCUCCAUUGAGCACACUCCAUAUCUGGGCACAUUACGCAAUGCACUUAGAGAGUCCAUUAGAGCCAGCAGUGGAUUUUUGUGCGCGGCAACUAUUAUUCAUAAUCGUGUGCUUAUCACACCAGCUGUAUGUAUAUAUGGACAAAGACGACAAGAUCUGGUGGUUGUAGUGGGGAAUACGUUCAUUAGAGGUGUAAGUCCAACAAUGAAAGUGUUGGCUAUCGAAACUUGGAGAUGGCAUGCACGGUAUAGAUUUGGGGAAAUGGCAUACAAUAUUGCAUUGGUCUUCACUGUUCGUGAUAUAACGCCCAAACAUGGGGCUAUUGCAUAUGCUGUCAUUAACAGGAGCAAAUUAAGACCGCAUACCGAAUGUUUAUUCUGUGGAUGGAGUAGAACUUCUGUUAAAUCGAAACAAAAGGUGAACCCUCCGAUUGCAUUUUUUGUAUGGAAUACCUACAAUGUAGAUUGCUAUAAGAUCACUUCUACUGCUGGUGUGAUGUGCUCCUACGUACCACAUAUGGCCGAAUUUAAAAAUAAAACUGAAGAUCUAGGUAACCCGAUAAUAUGCAACCAUAAACUUGCUGGUGUAUUCCUCGAAAGGCAUGGGGAGAUCUCAACGUAUAUAGAUAUAUAUUCAUUUAGAAAAUGGAUAAACGGAGCCAUUUACAUCCAUUUCCAUACAGCCACAUCGCCUCCUCGAUCAAUUUGCUGUCGGUGGCUUCUUGUGUUGGCCAUUAGUAUUUUUUUUAUCUUCAGCUAAAAACGUGAAUGUGUAUGAUUCCCUCAUAU